RNAcentral lists this ribosomal RNA (231 nucleotides) under uncultured bacterium. RNAcentral's name for it is "partial 16S ribosomal RNA". It matches the Rfam family "Bacterial small subunit ribosomal RNA", at positions 118 to 350 of the family's 1533-position model. The record is from RNAcentral.
UGAGCAACCUGCCCUUAGCUUUGGGAUAACCCUCGGAAACGGGGGCUAAUACCGGAUAUUCACUGCUUCGCGCAUGUGGGGUGGUGGAAAGUUUUUCGGCUGGGGAUGGGCUCGCGGCCUAUCAGCUUGUUGGUGGGGUGAUGGCCUACCAAGGCGAUGACGGGUAGCCGGCCUGAGAGGGCGACCGGCCACACUGGGACUGAGACACGGCCCAGACUCCUACGGGAGGCA